RNAcentral lists this ribosomal RNA (381 nucleotides) under uncultured marine Chaetocerotaceae. RNAcentral describes it as "SSU rRNA". It matches the Rfam family "Eukaryotic small subunit ribosomal RNA", at positions 587 to 972 of the family's 1831-position model. Lineage: Eukaryota; Bacillariophyta; Thalassiosirophyceae; Chaetocerotales; Chaetocerotaceae. The record is from RNAcentral.
AGCUCCAAUAGCGUAUAUUAAAGUUGCUGCAGUUAAAAAGCUCGUAGUUGCAUUUCCGCGGCAAGGGAUUAGUCCGACCUUUGGUGGGUAUUUAAUCCUCUUGCCUCGUCCUUGAGUGGUGCUUCUUGGUCUUAAGUUAUCGAGGAGAUAGCCGCUCAUCGUUUACUGUGAGAAAAUUAGAGUGUUCAAAGCAGGCUUAUGCCGUUGAAUAUAUUAGCAUGGAAUAAUAAGAUAGGACCUCGGUACUAUUUUGUUGGUUUGAGAACCAAGGUAAUGAUGAAUAGGGACAGUUGGGGGUAUUCGUAUUCAGUUGUCAGAGGUGAAAUUCUUAGAUUUACGGAAGACGAACUACUGCGAAAGCAUUUACCAAGGAUGUUUUCA